AUGUGUGUUGAUUGUAGAGGCAUUAAUAAUAUUACUAUUCGUUAUCGUCAUCCUAUUCCUAGGAAAGAUGAUAUGCUUGAUGAAUUGAGUGGCUCUACAAUAUUCUCCAAAGUUGAUUUGCGUAGUGGAUACCAUCAAAUUCGUAUGAAAUUGGGGGAUGAAUGGAAAACAACAUUUAAAACUAAGUUUGGAUUAUAUGAGUGGUUAGUGAUGCCUUUUGGGUUAACUAAUGCGCCUAGUACUUUCAUGAGACUAAUGAACGAAGUUUUACGUGCUUUCAUUGGACGAUUUGUGGUAGUCUAUUUUGAUGAUAUACUGAUUUAUAGCAGAUCUUUGGAAGAACAUUUGGAACAUUUACGUGUUGUUUUUAUUCCUCUACGUGAUCCACGUUUGUUUGGUAACCUUGGGAAGUGCACCUUUUGCACCGACCGAGUAUCUUUUCUUGGCUAUGUUGUUACUCCACAGGGAAUUGAAGUUGAUAAAGCCAAGAUUGAAGCUAUUGAGAGUUGGCCGCAACCCAAAACGGUCACACAAGUGAGGAGUUUUCUUGGCCUCGCUGGAUUCUAUAGGCGUUUUGUGAGAGAUUUCAGCACCAUUGCUGCACCUCUCAAUGAGCUUUCAAAGAAAGAUGUGCCUUUUCUUUGGGGUACCGCACAGGAAGAAGCCUUCACGGUACUGAAAGAUAAGUUGACACAUGCUCCUUUACUCCAACUUCCUGAUUUUAAUAAGACUUUUGAGCUUGAAUGUGAUGCUAGUGGAAUUGGAUUAGGAUGUGUGUUAUUACAAGAUGGCAAACCUGUUGCAUACUUUUCUGAAAAAUUGAGUGGGCCUAGUCUGAAUUAUUCUACUUAUGAUAAAGAAUUAUAUGCUCUUGUUCGGACUUUAGAAACAUGGCAACAUUAUUUAUGGCCCAAAGAAUUUGUUAUACAUUCUGAUCAUGAAUCUUUGAAACAUAUUAAAAGUCAAGCUAAACUGAAUCAUAGACAUGCUAAAUGGGUUGAAUUCAUUGAGACUUUCCCUUAUGUCAUUAAACACAAGAAGGGAAAAGAAAAUGUUAUUGCUGAUGCAUUGUCUCGUCGCUAUACUAUGCUUUCACAACUUGACUUCAAAAUAUUUGGUUUGGAGACCAUCAAAGAUGUGCAUGAUGCUGAUUUUAAAGAUGUAAUGCAGAAUUGUAAAGAAGGAAGAAUGUGGAACAAGUUUGUCAUUAACGAUGGAUUUGUGUUUCGUGCUAACAAGCUAUGCAUUCCAGCUAGCUCCGUUCGUCUUUUGUUGUUGCAGGAGGCGCAUGGAGGAGGAUUAAUGGGACACUUUGGCGUGAAGAAGAUGGAGGACGUACUUGCUACACAUUUCUUUUGGCCAAAGAUGAGACGGGAUGUUGAGCGUUUUAUUGCUCGCUGCACUACAUGUCAAAAAGCUAAGUCACGACUCAAUCCUCAUGGUUUAUAUAUGCCUUUGCCUGUACCUAGUGUUCCUUGGGAGGAUAUAUCUAUGGACUUUGUUUUAGGUUUACCUCGAACAAAGAAGGGGAGGGAUAGCAUAUUUGUUGUCGUGGAUAGAUUCUCGACAAUGGCACACUUUAUACCAUGUCAUAAAAGCGAUGAUGCUGUUAAUGUUGCUGAUUUGUUGUUUCGUGAAAUUAUUCGCUUGCAUGGUGUGCCAAAUACUAUUGUUUCACAUCGUGAUACUAAAUUUCUUAGCCACUUUUGGAGAUGUUUAUGGGCUAAGUUGGGGACUAAACUGCUUUUUAGUACUACUUGUCACCCCCAAACUGAUGGACAAACUGAAGUAGUCAAUAGAACGUUGCCUACCAUGCUUAGGGCUGUUUUGAAGAAUAAUAAGAAAAUGUGGGAGGAAUGCUUGCCUCAUAUUGAAUUUGCUUAUAAUCGUUCAUUGCAUUCUACUACUAAGAUGUGCCCUUUUGAAGUUGUGUAUGGUUUCCUACCUCGUGCACCUAUUGAUUUGUUUCCUCUUCCAUCUUCGGAGAAGGUUAAUUUUGAUGCUAAACAACGUGCAGAAUUGAUUUUAAAAAUGCAUGAGUUAACUAAGGAAAACAUUGAGCGUAUGAAUGCUAAAUAUAAACUUGCUGGAGAUAAGGGUAGAAAACAUGUUGUGUUUGCACCUGGAGAUCUUGUUUGGUUACAUUUGCAUAAGGAUAGAUUUCCUGAUUUGUGCAAAUCAAAGCUAAUGCCACGUGCUGAUGGUCCCUUUAAGGUGUUAGAGAAAAUAAAUGAUAAUGCAUAUAAACUUGAGCUGCCUGCAGAUUUUGGGGUUAGUCCCACUUUUAACAUUGCAGAUUUGAAGCCUUAUUUGGGUGAGGGAGAUGAACUUCCGUCGAGGACGACUUCAUUUCAAGAAGGGGAGGAUGAUGAGGACAUCAAUACCAUUGUUACACCCACAACCCCUGCUGCUAUACAUAUUGGACCAAUUACUAGAGCUCGCGCACGCCAGCUAAAUUACCAGGUACUUUCAUUUCUUGGUAAUGAUUCUAAUGUUCAUGAGAAUAUGAUGCUGCCUAAAUUGGAUACAUUUGUUUUGCUUACAAAUGAAGGGCCUAGCUUGGAGAAGGAUGAACAUUGGAGAAAGAAAACGCAUGGAGAUGAUGGCAUGCACAAGGGGAACAAGAACGGAGUUACGAGUGAUGAUUUCAUGUCUUUGAAGCCACCAUAA
This 2670-nucleotide ribosomal RNA is filed under the name Triticum aestivum (bread wheat). Its description in RNAcentral is "partial small subunit ribosomal RNA". Lineage: Eukaryota; Viridiplantae; Streptophyta; Magnoliopsida; Poales; Poaceae. The record is from RNAcentral.